UUUAAUUUCUGAAGAAAUUUCGUUUUUAAUUUGAAUAUAAUAAUGGUUUCGCUUAACCUGAAAGAAGGUUUCAUUUAAUUUGAAAAAGGUUUCACUUAAUUUGAAAAUGGUUUCAUAUAAACUGAAAAUGCUUCAUUUUAACU
Long non-coding RNA from Rhagoletis zephyria (snowberry fruit fly), 143 nucleotides. RefSeq lists it as uncharacterized. The record is from RefSeq and is a predicted model, not a curated record. NCBI's taxonomy places the organism in Eukaryota, Metazoa, Arthropoda, Insecta, Diptera, Tephritidae.